ACGGUCAAAUCACGAAAACACCGGUUCUCGUUCGAUCACCGAAGUUAAGCAUCGUAGAGCCAGGUCAGUACUUAGAUGGGGACCG
Molecule: non-coding RNA, 85 nt
Organism: Acanthosepion pharaonis
Lineage: Eukaryota; Metazoa; Mollusca; Cephalopoda; Sepiida; Sepiidae
Source: the annotation of a GenBank genome assembly